GACGAACCGUGCGAACGUUUUUCGGAAUCACUGGGCUUAAAGGGCGCGUAGGCGGGCCGGCCAGUCGGAGGUGAAAGCCCCCAGCUCAACUGGGGAAGUGCCCCCGAUACUGCCGGCCUGGAGGGGGGUAGGGGCGUGCGGAACUUCCGGUGGAGCGGUGAAAUGCGUAGAUAUCGGAAGGAACACCGGUGGCGAAGGCGGCACGCUGGGCCUUUCCUGACGCUGAGGCGCGAAAGCCAGGGGAGCGAACGGG
RNAcentral lists this ribosomal RNA (253 nucleotides) under uncultured bacterium. RNAcentral's name for it is "partial 16S ribosomal RNA". It matches the Rfam family "Bacterial small subunit ribosomal RNA", at positions 524 to 776 of the family's 1533-position model. The record is from RNAcentral.